GGGCAUAUACUCAACUAGUACAUCACUAUCUUAAGUAUUGGAGGAAGUCUCAAUUUGUAAAUAUUAUAAUUAUGGGUGGAGGCAAGUUACACUGCAUUGAGACAAGAGCUUUAGCUUAAUCACUAGUAAGACCACUUGGAUUAGUUUGUUCAAACUCAUUACUUGAUGGUUAUGAUUUUAAAAUUGUUGUAAAUGAUUUUACACGCAUCAUCUCUGUUUAUAAUAUAGAAUUUUAUAAGAAUUUAAUUU
RNAcentral lists this unclassified non-coding RNA (249 nucleotides) under Hevea brasiliensis (rubber tree). Lineage: Eukaryota; Viridiplantae; Streptophyta; Magnoliopsida; Malpighiales; Euphorbiaceae. The record is from RNAcentral.